CGUCAACCCUGCAGUGGGAACAGGGGCCCAUUGUACAUCCUAGACACAGACACCACAGGUAAGCUGGGCUUGGUACCUACCCCUCCCUGGAUUCAGAAAGAAGCCAAACAAGGAGCUUUGUGCAGAAUGAAGCCUCCUUCCUUCCAGAAGCACUGCUGACUGUUUGGCGGUUGCCAUUUGUGGCAGUGAGCCUUUUGUUUAUUCUGAGGUUGGGCUGGUUUCUCCUCUUGGCCCUGACCUCCAGAUUAUAAAGGAGAACAGCAAGAGGUCCCCAGGAAACAUCCACAAAUGGCAUUGGAAAUAAGUCACCUUCUGAGAAACAUGUCAUGUUCUGGGAGGGCUAAGGCAUCAAGUAAGGCCUAUGGGGUUGGAGGAUCCCUGGGCAGGUGGGGCAGUCCACAGCCUUGGGGUCUUCCCAUGGGAAUCGGGAGGUCCCAAGGCAGAGGCAGUGGUUCCACAGGAGGAGUCACAGAGCCACCAAGGGCUCUCCUGGCCCAGGGAGCAGUCAACACCAUGGACUGAACACCUGCUGGGCUCAAAAGUCCUGGUCCAGACUGGGGCAUGUGGGGCCAGGAGGGAACUCGGAGUGGGAGACAGAGAGACAAGUGUGCUCAGAGGGCACCCGUUUCUGGAGGUAGUGUCCAGAGAUUUUGGCUGGGAAGGGCUUCCAGGGUUUCAUACGUGUUGUGGAGCUGCUUCCUCUCUCCAGCCUCACCCUGCAGGAACAUCAGUGAAUAUAUUGCUGCCAUCUUGGACCUCAAUGCCCUCAUAGUGUAAUGGCACCAGCAGAUCUACCCUGUGCAUGGACGUCCUGUACUACCUCAUUCCUGAGGAGCGAUGCUUCUGUAGGGUCUCUGACUUGGUGCACAACUUCAGACACCAUCAUCCUGGAGCAGUACCGCACCCUCACUAGCCAGGGUGUUGAUGACUUCCUCAAGGCCAAGGCCACGUUCAAGGCUUCAGACUUCAUUGAUGCACUUGUGCUGAGCAAGGCGGGCUUUUCCAGGACCUUAAUUCAGGAGCCUCAGUGCAUAGGCGCUGUUCAUCCUCUGGUGUUGAAGCAGCCAAGAGUCACAAGCCUGCCUGGCUGCCUCUUAGGAUAUGACAGCAGAGCCAGUGACAUCUACUGGAUCCUGUACAACUUCACAAAACACCCAGACACCGGGAGUGCUGCCAGCAUGUGGUGCAACAGUCCUGAGGGACCACAGUCCGGAAGACAUUGAAUGGCUAUGGUCCUGCUCAUUGCUGGAGGUGCUGUCAGGGCCCUUGCCACUGACCCUCCAGGUCUCAUUCUUGCAGUGCAGGCAGGGCAUUCUGGAGGAAUCAUGCCCUUGGAAGAAGCCCUGAGGAGUGUCUGCUCCUCCAAUAUUCAUAGACCUGUCAUUGUGCUGUUUUUACCAAAAAUGAUCAUGAGGAUCAGAGAGGGAAAGUCACUUGCCCAAAGUCACACAGCUGAACAGUGGUGGAGUUCAACUUUGACCAUGGGCUGUCUGACCCCAAGUUGUAUACUUGCUCCUCUCCCAAGAGACUCCUCUCUUAUCAGGCUCAAAUGAAUGAAAGGAGGAUGUUAAAGGGCAUGUUGAAAACACAGAUUAUCCAGACUCUUACCUCUGCAGAUGUGUUUGGUGGUUCUAAAAUAGCAUCAAGGGACCUGGAUUUUUCCUAGGGUCCCUGUGUAAUUCACACUCAUGAACAGACAACACUGUUAUUGACGAGAUCACACCCAAGCGGAUCAGAGAUUGGCCCAAUACUUACACCUACACCAAGGCCUUGGGAGAAAUGGUGGUGCAGCAGGAGAGCAGGAGCCUAACCAUCGCCAUCAGUAGGCCCUCCAUUGUGGGAGCAACAUGCCAUAAGCCUUUCCCAAUGCAGCAUUACCUGGAAAGAAGCUAAAGCUGGGGGGUUCCAAGAUGGCCAAAUAGGAACAGCUCCAGGCUACAACUCCCAGCAUGAGUGACAGAGAAGACGGGUGAUUUCUGCAUUUCCAACUGAGGUACCGGGUUCGUCUCACUGGGGCGCAUUGGACAGUGGGUGCUGGACAGUGGGUGAAGU
Long non-coding RNA from Piliocolobus tephrosceles (Ugandan red Colobus), 2052 nucleotides. RefSeq lists it as uncharacterized. The record is from RefSeq and is a predicted model, not a curated record. NCBI's taxonomy places the organism in Eukaryota, Metazoa, Chordata, Mammalia, Primates, Cercopithecidae. The transcript has 7 exons.